Molecule: ribosomal RNA, 519 nt
Filed under: uncultured Acidobacteriota bacterium
Lineage: Bacteria; Pseudomonadati; Acidobacteriota
Description: bacterial SSU rRNA
Rfam family: Bacterial small subunit ribosomal RNA
Source: RNAcentral
UGGGGAAUUGUUCGCAAUGGGCGCAAGCCUGACGACGCAACGCCGCGUGGAGGAUGAAGAUCUUCGGGUCGUAAACUCCUGUCGAAUGGGACGAAUGGGUUGCGGGUUAACAGCCCGCUACAUUGACGGUACCGUUAAAGGAAACCCCGGCUAACUCCGUGCCAGCAGCCGCGGUAAUACGGGGGGGGUAAGCGUUGUUCGGAAUUACUGGGCGUAAAGGGCUCGUAGGCGGCCAACUAAGUCAGACGUGAAAUCCCUCAGCUUAACUGGGGAACUGCGUCUGAUACUGGAUGGCUUGGAUCCGGGAGAGGGAUGCGGAAUUCCAGGUGUAGCGGUGAAAUGCGUAGAUAUCUGGAGGAACACCGGUGGCGAAGGCGGCAUCCUGGACCGGUAUUGACGCUGAGGAGCGAAAGCCAGGGGAGCAAACGGGAUUAGAUACCCCGGUAGUCCUGGCCCUAAACGAUGAAUGCUUGGUGUAGCGGGUAUCGAUCCCUGCUGUGCCGAAGCUAACGCAUUAAG